AGAGUUUGAUCAUGGCUCAGAUUGAACGCUGGCGGAAUGCUUUACACAUGCAAGUCGAACGGCAGCACGGGGGCAACCCUGGUGGCGAGUGGCGAACGGGUGAGUAAUACAUCGGAACGUGCCCAGUCGUGGGGGAUAACGCAGCGAAAGCUGUGCUAAUACCGCAUACGAACUCUGGUUGAAAGCGGGGGACCCGUAAGGGCCUCGCGCGAUUGGAGCGGCCGAUGGCAGAUUAGGUAGUUGGUGGGGUAAAGGCCUACCAAGCCUGCGAUCUGUAGCUGGUCUGAGAGGACGACCAGUCACACUGGGACUGAGACACGGCCCAGACUCCUACGGGAGGCAGCAGUGGGGAAUUUUGGACAAUGGGCGCAAGCCUGAUCCAGCCAUUCCGCGUGCAGGAUGAAGGCCCUCGGGUUGUAAACUGCUUUUGUACGGAACGAAAAGGCUUCUUCUAAUACAGGGAGCUCAUGACGGUACCGUAAGAAUAAGCACCGGCUAACUACGUGCCAGCAGCCGCGGUAAUACGUAGGGUGCAAGCGUUAAUCGGAAUUACUGGGCGUAAAGCGUGCGCAGGCGGUGAUGUAAGACAGAUGUGAAAUCCCCGGGCUCAACCUGGGAACUGCAUUUGUGACUGCAUCGCUGGAGUGCGGCAGAGGGGGAUGGAAUUCCGCGUGUAGCAGUGAAAUGCGUAGAUAUGCGGAGGAACACCGAUGGCGAAGGCAAUCCCCUGGGCCUGCACUGACGCUCAUGCACGAAAGCGUGGGGAGCAAACAGGAUUAGAUACCCUAGUAGUCC
RNAcentral lists this ribosomal RNA (795 nucleotides) under uncultured bacterium. Its description in RNAcentral is "bacterial SSU rRNA". It matches the Rfam family "Bacterial small subunit ribosomal RNA", at positions 8 to 796 of the family's 1533-position model. The record is from RNAcentral.